AAACUAUGAUAGAGAAGAAUUGAUGUGUGUUGUGGUUGAUGAAUUAUAUUAGAGGUGUAUUAAGAUUUGUGAUGGUUAAAAUUAUGUUAGAGGUGUUAUACUUAUAUUAUUUAUACUUUUUUACAUGUAGUUCAAUUUGAAAAAGUCGUAUACUUAAGCCGAAUUCGAUGAGCCGUAGGUGCAUUCUUCUUCUCCCAACUUGUGCAUCACUCUCAAUUGAAGGUGAUGUACAUGUACAUCUCAAACUCUUGUAUUUCACCUCAAUAAUUCAUAUUUAUCUUCUUUUUUUAUUACUAAAGGAUGUAGAAGAAGUGUUCGUAGGUCGGUUUUUGUUUAAUCAAUUUUGUUGUGUUGGAAUCUGUAUUUGCAAAGAUUUUUGUGACGUUAAAAAAACGUCGCAGUAGAUCGAAUUUCUAGUA
Non-coding RNA from Momordica charantia (bitter melon), 419 nucleotides. NCBI's taxonomy places the organism in Eukaryota, Viridiplantae, Streptophyta, Magnoliopsida, Cucurbitales, Cucurbitaceae. The record is from RefSeq and is a predicted model, not a curated record.